GUAGUCACUUCUGCCUUGCAUCUGGCAAGGGUCAUAAAUGUGUGUGUGUGUGUGUGAGCUUGUUCUAUUCUUACAAGGACCUUGAAGACACAAGGUUAUUUGGGCUCACCCAUCCUUGAAAGGAUUUUUAGGUUCUUUGGUUACAUGCUAAGUAGCCUGGAACACUUGACCUGAAAGCUGUGGAUUGCAGCUGCUGCAUCAGACACUUUCCUGAGUAAUCAGCCAUGGAAUUACUAGCCAGCUAAAAAGGGCUGGGGCAUAAGCCCAAUUUCUGGCUACUGAUACCGUAAAGGGUUAAUGCAGUCUGACAGCUAAAGCCUGGGCAGCAGUUUAAUAUUUGGGCAUGGAUUAGAAGUUAAGGUGGGUGAGAGCUGUGGGAAUGCAAGCUGUGCUCUCCAUGUUUGCCUUACAGCUGGAGAGCAGCCCACGACCUGUCCCAUCUCCUGUAGGCUGUGGCCAUUGUGUCUGUGGUGUGCUGUGCUCCUCUCUCCUGGGAAAGAUGCCCAGAGCUGCAGAAGAACAUUCUGUGACCCAGUGACAUGCUGUCUGCCUUUGGAGAUGGGCUUAGUGCCGUCCAUGUCCAGACAGGUUUUGGAUGUCUUGGAGAAUGGAGACUCUACAACCUCCCUGGGCAACUGAUGCCAGUGCCUGGUUACUCUCACAGUGAAGAAGUGUUUCCUGAUGUUCAGAUGAUUUCAGUUUGUGCCCAUUGCCUCCGGUGCUGUGAAUCAUACUGGAUUUGCAAAUGCUUUGUUUGCUCCUUUUGUUUUCCUGACUUAGAAGAAGUGGAGUGUUUGAAGAAUCAGCAGAAUCAAAGUUAACUUUAGAAAUAGUUUAAAUAUAAGAGGGAUUAACCCUGACUUUAAGAAGUGCUGCCCUGCCUAGAUUUGAAAAAGUUUGAAUAUGCACAAAGGAUAUAACUGGAAAGAAUGUUAAAAGAAAAUAUUACCAUUAGUUAUGUUAGUAAAGUUCCUUUGCUGAAAUCGUAUGACAAUUUUAGAUGGUAAGCUACUUUUUAUAGAAUGGAAGGACUCUCAAAUCUGCAUAUUAAAGACUGAGACAGUCAUAUAUGAAGAGUAUUUUUUCUGAAUAAAGUUUCAUAUAUGUGAUUCA
This 1113-nucleotide long non-coding RNA is filed under the name Junco hyemalis (dark-eyed junco). Its description in RNAcentral is "lncRNA (ENSJHYG00000015349.1)". Lineage: Eukaryota; Metazoa; Chordata; Aves; Passeriformes; Passerellidae. The record is from RNAcentral.